RNAcentral lists this ribosomal RNA (691 nucleotides) under uncultured bacterium. Its description in RNAcentral is "bacterial SSU rRNA". It matches the Rfam family "Bacterial small subunit ribosomal RNA", at positions 8 to 694 of the family's 1533-position model. The record is from RNAcentral.
AGAGUCUGAUCCUGGCUCAGAUUGAACGCUGGCGGCAUGCCUUACACAUGCAAGUCGAACGGCAGCGGGGACUUCGGUCCGCCGGCGAGUGGCGAACGGGUGAGUAAUAUAUCGGAACGUACCUUUCAGUGGGGGAUAACGUAGCGAAAGUUACGCUAAUACCGCAUAUUCUGUGAGCAGGAAAGCAGGGGAUCGCAAGACCUUGCGCUGAUUGAGCGGCCGAUAUCAGAUUAGCUAGUUGGUGAGGUAAAGGCUCACCAAGGCGACGAUCUGUAGCGGGUCUGAGAGGAUGAUCCGCCACACUGGAACUGAGACACGGUCCAGACUCCUACGGGAGGCAGCAGUGGGGAAUUUUGGACAAUGGGGGCAACCCUGAUCCAGCCAUGCCGCGUGAGUGAAGAAGGCCUUCGGGUUGUAAAGCUCUUUCGGCCGGGAAGAAAUCGCACGGGCUAAUACCCUGUGUGGAUGACGGUACCGGAAUAAGAAGCACCGGCUAACUACGUGCCAGCAGCCGCGGUAAUACGUAGGGUGCGAGCGUUAAUCGGAAUUACUGGGCGUAAAGCGUGCGCAGGCGGUUUAGUAAGACAGGCGUGAAAUCCCCGGGCUCAACCUGGGAACUGCGCUUGUGACUGCUAAGCUAGAGUACGGCAGAGGGGGGUGGAAUUCCACGUGUAGCGGUGAAAUGCGUAGA